UACGUAGGGGGCGAGCGUUGUCCGGAUUUAUUGGGCGUAAAGCGCGGGCAGGCGGCCCGGUAAGUCGGCCGUGAAAGCGCCGGGCUCAACUCGGCGAGGACGGGCGAGACUGCAGGGCUGGAGCAAGGCAGAGGGCGGUGGAAUUCCGGGUGUAGUGGUGGAAUGCGUAGAGCUCCGGAGGAACACCAGUGGCGAAGGCGGCCGCCUGGGCCUUUGCUGACGCUGAGCCGCGAAAGCGUGGGGAGCGAGCAGG
This 253-nucleotide ribosomal RNA is filed under the name uncultured bacterium. RNAcentral describes it as "partial 16S ribosomal RNA". It matches the Rfam family "Bacterial small subunit ribosomal RNA", at positions 524 to 776 of the family's 1533-position model. The record is from RNAcentral.